UAUUAGGUUGAUGCAAAAGUAAUUGCGGUUUUUGCCUUUUUUUUAAAAAAAAAAGAAUGGCAAAAACCGCAAUUACUUUUGCAUCAACCUAAUA
This 94-nucleotide microRNA precursor is filed under the name Homo sapiens (human). RNAcentral's name for it is "mir-548 microRNA precursor family". It matches the Rfam family "mir-548 microRNA precursor family". The record is from Rfam by way of RNAcentral. Lineage: Eukaryota; Metazoa; Chordata; Mammalia; Primates; Hominidae.